AGAGGGGGCUUAGUGGUGGGGUGACUGCGUACCUUUUGUAUAAUGGGUCAGCGACUUAUAUUCUGUAGCAAGGUUAACCGAAUAGGGGAGCCGGAGGGAAACCGAGUCUUAAUUGGGCGUUAAGUUGCAGGGUAUAGACCCGAAACCCGGUGAUCUAGCCAUGGGCAGGUUGAAGGUUGGGUAACACUAACUGGAGGACCGAACCGACUAAUGUUGAAAAAUUAGCGGAUGACCUGUGGCUGGGGGUGAAAGGCCAAUCAAACCGGGAGAUAGCUGGUUCUCCCCGAAAGCUAUUUAGGUAGCGCCUCGUGAACUCAUCUCCGGGGGUAGAGCACUGUUUCGGCUAGGGGGCCAUCCCGGCUUACCAACCCGAUGCAAACUGCGAAUACCGGAGAAUGUUAUCACGGGAGACACACGGCGGGUGCUAACGUCCGUCGUGAAGAGGGAAACAACCCAGACCGCCAGCUAAGGUCCCAAAGUCAUGGUUAAGUGGGAAACGAUGUGGGAAGGCCCAGACAGCCAGGAUGUUGGCUUAGAAGCAGCCAUCAUUUAAAGAAAGCGUAAUAGCUCACUGGUCGAGUCGGCCUGCGCGGAAGAUGUAACGGGGCUAAACCAUGCACCGAAGCUGCGGCAGCGAACGUAUCACCCAAGACAACUUUACGGAGUUGACGAUUGACGGAGCGAAGCGACGUCAAAGCGUUCAUUAAAGUCGAGUUGGCUUAGGGAUACGUUCGUUGGGUAGGGGAGCGUUCUGUAAGCCUGCGAAGGUGGCCUGUGAGGGUUGCUGGAGGUAUCAGAAGUGCGAAUGCUGACAUAAGUAACGAUAAAGCGGGUGAAAAGCCCGCUCGCCGGAAGACCAAGGGUUCCUGUCCAACGUUAAUCGGGGCAGGGUGAGUCGACCCCUAAGGCGAGGCCGAAAGGCGUAGUCGAUGGGAAACGGGUUAAUAUUCCCGUACUUGGUGUUACUGCGAAGGGGGGACGGAGAAGGCUAUGUUGGCCGGGCGACGGUUGUCCCGGUUUAAGCGUGUAGGUGUGUGUUCCAGGUAAAUCCGGUUCACUUUAACACUGAGGCGUGACGACGAGGCACUACGGUGCUGAAGCAACAAAUGCCCUGCUUCCAGGAAAAGCCUCUAAGCAUCAGGUAACACGAAAUCGUACCCCAAACCGACACAGGUGGUCAGGUAGAGAAUACCAAGGCGCUUGAGAGAACUCGGGUGAAGGAACUAGGCAAAAUGGUGCCGUAACUUCGGGAGAAGGCACGCUGACA
Molecule: ribosomal RNA, 1267 nt
Filed under: Salmonella enterica subsp. enterica
Lineage: Bacteria; Pseudomonadati; Pseudomonadota; Gammaproteobacteria; Enterobacterales; Enterobacteriaceae
Description: partial 23S ribosomal RNA
Rfam family: Bacterial large subunit ribosomal RNA
Source: RNAcentral